GUGGCCGUAGCUCAGUUGGUAGAGUACAGGAUUGUGAUUCCUGUUGUCGCGGGUUCGAUCCCCGUCGGCCACCCCA
Molecule: transfer RNA, 76 nt
Filed under: Pseudomonadales bacterium
Lineage: Bacteria; Pseudomonadati; Pseudomonadota; Gammaproteobacteria; Pseudomonadales
Also listed under: 1 other name
Description: tRNA-His
Rfam family: tRNA
About the family: Transfer RNA (tRNA) molecules are approximately 80 nucleotides in length. Their secondary structure includes four short double-helical elements and three loops (D, anti-codon, and T loops).
Source: RNAcentral